Molecule: ribosomal RNA, 745 nt
Filed under: uncultured Pseudomonadota bacterium
Lineage: Bacteria; Pseudomonadati; Pseudomonadota
Description: bacterial SSU rRNA
Rfam family: Bacterial small subunit ribosomal RNA
Source: RNAcentral
AGUCGACGCGAAAGUCCCCUUCGGGGGAUGAGUAGAGUGGCGUCCGGGUGAGUAACACGUAGGUAAUCUACCUUCGGGUGGGGAAUAACGCAGGGAAACUUGCGCUAAUACCGCAUAAUGCAGCGGCACCACAUGGUGACAGUUGUUAAAGCGGGGGAUUUUCGAACCUCGCGCCUGAAGAGGAGCCUGCGGCAGAUUAGCUAGUUGGUAGGGUAACGGCCUACCAAGGCGACGAUCUGUAGCCGGCCUGAGAGGGCGGUCGGCCACACUGACACUGACAUACGGGUCAGACUCCUACGGGAGGCAGCAGUCGGGAAUUUUGGGCAAUGGGCGAAAGCCUGACCCAGCAACGCCGCGUGAAGGAUGAAAUCCCUCGGGAUGUAAACUUCGCAAGAAUGGGAAGAAUUAGCGAUUAUUAAUACUGCUCGUGAUGACGGUACCAUUUGUAAGCUCCGGCUAACUCCGUGCCAGCAGCCGCGGUAAUACGGGGGGAGCAAGCGUUGUUCGGAUUUACUGGGCGUAAAGGGCGCGUAGGCGGUCAGCACAAGUAAGUUGUGAAAUCUCCGGGCUUAACUCGGAACGGUCAACUGAUACUGUGCGACUAGAGUGCAGAAGGGGCAACUGGAAUUCUCGGUGUAGCGGUGAAAUGCGUAGAUAUCGAGAGGAACACCUGCGGCGAAGGCGGGUUGCUGGGCUGACACUGACGCUGAUGCGCGAAAGCCAGGGGAGCGAACGGGAUUAGAUA